GGGGGCGAAACGGCUUCGACGGGGAUAAAGAAGCUGUGGUUGCAUGCCGAGUCCCAUCGUCUCGUAAAAAGGUGGAUUUUAAACAUAAUCGCAGACGAUUAUAAUUACGCCUUGGCCGCGUAGUAGGCCAACGUCCAUCCAGAUCCUGCCUGCAGACCUGGAAUGGGCGUCGAUUCGCAGGCUGGCUGAUCGAGGACGCCUGUUUCUUGAUCGGUAAGACUAUUACAGGAUAGCCUUUCAAGCAUCCUGCCUGAGGGAGACUUGAAAAGGCGAAUUCCAAAUUUCAGGAUAAGCAUGUAGAUACCAUUGUGGAAUAUUUUCGGACGCGGGUUCGACUCCCGCCGCCUCCACCA
RNAcentral lists this transfer-messenger RNA (353 nucleotides) under Desulfobacterales. RNAcentral describes it as "QZKS01 sp003599865 Standard tmRNA". It matches the Rfam family "transfer-messenger RNA". From Rfam's summary of the family: Bacterial tmRNA, also known as 10Sa RNA or SsrA, is named for its dual tRNA and mRNA-like properties. The record is from RNAcentral. Lineage: Bacteria; Pseudomonadati; Thermodesulfobacteriota; Desulfobacteria. RNAcentral also lists the same sequence under 1 other name.